Molecule: long non-coding RNA, 168 nt
Organism: Thalassophryne amazonica
Lineage: Eukaryota; Metazoa; Chordata; Actinopteri; Batrachoidiformes; Batrachoididae
Exons: 3
Source: RefSeq, a predicted model, not a curated record
AUGGUGCAAAAUUACAAAAAUUGGCAAAUGCACUUUGUUGCGGCUUUUGAUUGUGUAUUUAUUAUUAUUUAUGGGUAGCUGGGCCGUGGGCCAGUCCAAACUUAUUAAAGGGCCAGUUCUGGCCCGCGGGCCACCAGUUGAAUACUCCUGCACUAGACCAUCACCUCC